CCAGCUUUGAAGCAAAGUUCGAAGAUGCAGUGAGGAUCUCCUGAUCUCUGUUUAGCCUUGCCUGCUGCAGCCUGCAAAAGCAGCCCUGGCUUUUUUUGGCCAUCAGGAGCUGCUCUGUAAUUCUGCCUGGAUUGUAUCUUUUUCUCCCUCCCUCAGGUGAAAGCUCAAAGCAGUCCCAAAGUGGCAGGUGAAGAUGGGGUGGCUGCUGCAUCUUUGCAGAGCCUGAACUCAGCCAGCUCAGGAAGUGGCUUUGCAGCCACCACAGCUUCACCCAUGGCUGGUGCAAUGCCAGCAGAGGUUGUAACUGGGGGAAAUGUGCUCUGAGAAAUGUCAUUAUAUACAGCAGAGAGGAAGGGAACAGAGAAGUAACCAAGCUUUUCAAUUGCAGUGUGGUUUUCAGCCCUGCUUGCCCAAUCCCUUUGCACCACUAGGCCCUCCUGCCAUGUGCCUUCACCAGGGCUGGCUGUGUGAGACAAGGAACACCAUGCUUUACAGCAAUAACCUCACAACAGUGGGCUUUUCUUCAUGAAACUAGUGAGGAAAAGGGUAAAGAACUCCAGUGCAGCUCAAUGUUAUGCACAGAUCUGAUCCAUGGGUGUUCCAGCAGGUGGACUUGGGCACCACCAGGGGCCUGGCUGCUGUAGCAGGAGGGAUCCAUCCACACCAGGUCAGCCAGAGCCAUUUUGAAGGGAAAACACAAUUUAAAAGUGAAGGGAGUGAGUCAUGUUGCCUGCUGGCAUAAAUGCAAAGUACUUAGGAGCAGGAAGUGUCUUUGUUUUUGUGCAGGGGAGUGUGCUCAGAACAGGUUAUCACUGAGGUGCAUUUCUGGCUAGCAAAAUAAGGGCUUGCUCCAGCAGCAUGACCAUCCUACCUGGCAGGGGGAAACAGUUUCAUGCAGUUCAGUAUCAGGUACCCAAGAUUUUGCUUUUUGUUUUUAACACUGUAUUUAACAACUCUGAAUCUUAAACCAGCAUUCUGCCACCUACUGCUCAUGAAAAUGCCAGAUGUGGUGUGUGCACAGCAGUCUCAUUUUGGACUCAAAAACCUCAUCAAAGCUCUCUGGGACUGGUGGUCUGGUCAGCUCUGUGCAGGUUGGGAAAAAUAUCCUGUGAGCUAUCUGAAUUGCCCUGCUGGGACUCUCAGUCAGUGUAAUGAUGUCUGCAGCACAGCCAGCUUUCUUGGAGAACAAAGUGCAGUUUCCUUUUGUGUGCUGAACAAACAAACAUUGUGCAGGAAUUGGUCCUAAAAGAAAUUUUUUUUUUUUAAAUAUCCAAGUCACUUUUUUUUUUUUUUUUUUUCCUUGGGAAUGCCUGUGACUGGUUUGUGAAACUCAAAACCCACAGAGAUAUCCAUGGUGGGAACAGACAACUAUUGCAAUAACAUCAGAGAUGGUUCUGCAGUUAAAAUUAAGCAUAGAAAUGUGUGAAAACUGGCAGCCUGCCUAGUGCCACAGUUCAUUAUGGAUUUGGUGUUUAGUACAGUUUGGGUAAGGAAUCAUCCUAACUCUCCUUUCUCCUUUAAUUAAAUGAGAGGUUUGCCAUUAGGCUCUGCUUGCUGUAACUCAUGUUUUGGGCUGAGCUUGUCCUGCCUGGUAAAUGGGAACACUGGAGAGAAACAAGGGAGAGAGAAAACAAGAAAACUGAAGUAUGUGCCUUUGCUGCUUAUCUGUCUCCAGGUACUAGCUCAUGGAAAGUUUUCACACUGACAGUGUCUUUCAGCAAUUCUGUUCCAGCUGUUGGAUGCUCAGUGCUUCACCGAGAAUCUGGACACAGAUUUGUCAUUGUGCUAUAAAUGGUCCACAUAUAAAGCCACAGCCAGAGCAUACAGACCGUGAAGUGUAGGGAAGGAAGAUAAGAUGAGAGGUGAGAGGAUAGCAGUAGCACCAAAUACAAAAGACAGAAUAUGAAUGCCAUGUUAAAUAAAAUCAUAUAUUUGGUGUCUGUACUCUGGUACCGGAGUGCCUUCAUGUUUAGGGAUGUAACAUUGUUGUGGGGAUUGAGUUCAAGUUUCUCCCUUCAUGCAGGGCAGGUUGUCACACAGGAACCAGGAAAAGGUAGGCUCUGUCCCUCCCAUCCUGCGGAGACCCCUGCAGAAGUCACUCCGCUCUGUAACCUCUUUCUGAAGACUAAGAACACAGGUUUAAAAGCCAGAAAACUUCUGGGAAACUGCUUGUGAGUCAGGAGUACCCAGGGGAUGAGUGUGGCUUUUCUUUGUAUUCCGAAUAAGCCAUUUAAACUUUGAAGUUUUCUCUCUUUCUCUAGAAUAAAAGCCACUUUCUGUUUAAACAUUUACAACUCUUCCUGUAGUCUGUGUUUUCCAUAAACCCUCAGAAACUCGACUGUCCCCAGGGCUUUCUGCUGGAGUAAUUUAACAGCCGUGCUGCAGAAAUGGCAAGGUAAGUAGCCCAGCUGAAGAUACAGUAGCCAAAACUCUUAUCUCAAGACCCAUUUCUUGGAGAAUUGCAUCAAUUUCCCUCAGUCAAUUAGGAGUCUUAUUUAUAAAUUCACAUACAAUACAGAAAGGAAAUUUGUUGCACUGUUGUGGAGAUCAGAGUUUCAAUGUGCUUUUUCUCCCUCCUUCUCCUGUUUAGAAAACUGGAGUCAGUUUGCAUGUGUCUGUGUCCCUCUUCUUAUUGCUGAGCCCGGCAUG
Molecule: long non-coding RNA, 2649 nt
Organism: Serinus canaria (Common canary)
Lineage: Eukaryota; Metazoa; Chordata; Aves; Passeriformes; Fringillidae
Exons: 3
Source: RefSeq, a predicted model, not a curated record